This 362-nucleotide ribosomal RNA is filed under the name uncultured bacterium. Its description in RNAcentral is "bacterial SSU rRNA". It matches the Rfam family "Bacterial small subunit ribosomal RNA", at positions 30 to 394 of the family's 1533-position model. The record is from RNAcentral.
AUUGAACGCUGGCGGAAUGCUUUACACAUGCAAGUCGAACGGUAGAGGGGGCAACCCCUUGAGAGUGGCGAACGGGUGAGUAAUAUAUCGGAACGUGCCCAGUCGUGGGGGAUAACGUAGCGAAAGUUACGCUAAUACCGCAUACGAUCUACGGAUGAAAGCGGGGGACUCGCAAGAGCCUCGCGCGAUUGGAGCGGCCGAUAUCAGAUUAGGUAGUUGGUGGGGUAAAGGCUCACCAAGCCAACCGAUCUGUAGCUGGUCUGAGAGGACGACCAGCCACACUGGAACUGAGACACGGUCCAGACUCCUACGGGAGGCAGCAGUGGGGAAUUUGGACAAUGGACGCAAGUCUGAUCCAGCCA